CGUCUUAGUUACCACUUAACUACUACAAGUAUCCCACGAGGCGUGGUGGAACAUACUAUCUAUUAGUUACCACAACAUAACAUAACCGUUAAGUUCGCUUUAACCGUGUACUUUACGGACAUGCUUGGUUUGUACCUAAGCACGAGUGCUUAAUACGAGAGGACCACAUUGGCCGAUGGUCUUUGUCCGGUUGACGGAACGUAUUAACGUUUAAAAUAUACGAAAAUGGAUCGCAAACUAAUCACCAAAGAGUACUAAUUUUCAUAUUUCCCUUCUUUCACUACCAAGUGAACUUAGCAUGAUGACGGAAAACAAACAAAAAGAAAAGCAAAGAAAGGAAAGAGGAGAACAACUUCAUCAUCAUGGUUCAUGGCUAGGAGGAGGAGCCCAGAGAGAGAGAGACACAAGUAAGUAAGGAGAAAGCAGACACUGGUUGAAAAGAGAGGCACCCGGAAACCGGGAAAGGGACAAAGCAAAUCCUGCUUUCGACCAAACUAGCAGGCCUGAGAGCAGUUGAGAACUCGGGACGUAUAUCUGUAUCACUAGCAGAAGAAGGAAAGAAUAGUCCUAUGAGCGAGACGAAGGAAGAGAUAAAAAGGUCAGAAAUGGAGACAUGGUAGAAGAAGAAGGAGCCCGACAAGAACCACCGUCUUUAUCCCCUCUCUCUAUCUAUAUCUCCCUUAUUUAUGAGACAGAAUACCCGUUGACGACCAAAGCCCCCUCAAGGAUGUAAUUGUCCCAGAGGUGACGUUUCAGUCUCUGAGGGUUCUAGGUCUCGGGUAGCCUCUCCCUGGCCUCGCUACUCUCGUCCGACGGCAGCUUGCGCUCCCUCCACCUCCGGUACGUCGAGCUGAGCCGCCGCGCCUUGGGCGACUGGCGGAAGAGAAAGCUCCUCGAGGCCUUCCACUGGUUGCCCAAGGCCGUCCUGAGCGAUUAGCCGCCGCCGCCGAAGCCGUCCCACAUGUUCCCGCGGCACCAUACCUGCCGCCGCCUCUGCUCGGGGACGUCCAGCGGCAGUUCCACGUGCUACCCCUAUUGUCGAAGGUCCCGGUGUCCCUCACCGACCACCUCAACUAGAAGAACCCGGUGGACAGCGUGGGUUUGGACCACUUCGAUCGCCCGAUGACGACACUCCCGCUCGUGGCCCACGACCAGAUGCUCAUGUACGGCGAGCCAUCGCACCUCAGUGUGGAGAAGAGUGCCCACUACCGCGGGGACCGCACCCGCUGCUCCUACUUCUAGUGCGACCCGCACCACUCCCCGGACCGAAAGGAGGUACUCCGGCUCUUCGGGCAGUAGAUGGCGCUAAAGUUCUGGAGGUUGUAGGAGGAGCUGGUACUGAAGUUGCGGUUCGAGAGGCUGAAGCCGGAGCGGUUCCUACCGGGGCAGCCGCUGUAUAGGGUGCAGAGGUGGGCGUAGUACCCGUGGAUGCCAAUGCGGCGGGGUCUCAUGUAGUACUGUCCCGUGGACUGCCGCUACUCGCUGCACAUGUCGAUGCCCCACCACGACAACCUCGACCAAUGCCCCGCGUUCAGUGACCUGUUCACAACCGGCUACGCCCUCGUCUGCGACCGCCUGACCCGCAACGGCUACGACUACGUGUUCUUCAUCCACAACCCCUAGGAUCUGGGUUCCGAGCCGAGGCUGCUGAUGGGGCAGUCCAGGCACGUCUUCCGCCGGUACGAGCGCAUGGUGACGGAGUCGUCGUUGGGGUUCCGCGCCGGCGAGUACGCGCUGUAGCAGCGGAGGGAGCUCGGCGACGUCGUUGACCUCGAGCACGGGCGGUUGAACACUAGGAGUAAAGUUCAAAAUCAGGUCCGGAACGACCACAACAGUCUAGGUAGCGGAGAUGAAGUCGAGUAUCUUCGUCUGAUCUUAAGUACACUUUUUUUAACACACACUAACGGAUCAUAUCGUCCGUCCGUCCACUUCACAAGAACUACGAUAUUUACUAACAUGUAAGAAGG
Molecule: ribosomal RNA, 1967 nt
Filed under: Triticum aestivum (bread wheat)
Lineage: Eukaryota; Viridiplantae; Streptophyta; Magnoliopsida; Poales; Poaceae
Description: partial small subunit ribosomal RNA
Source: RNAcentral